RNAcentral lists this ribosomal RNA (910 nucleotides) under Hypaulax sp. COL162. RNAcentral describes it as "SSU rRNA". It matches the Rfam family "Eukaryotic small subunit ribosomal RNA", at positions 52 to 905 of the family's 1831-position model. Lineage: Eukaryota; Metazoa; Arthropoda; Insecta; Coleoptera; Tenebrionidae. The record is from RNAcentral.
UGCAUGUCUCAGUACAAGCCAAAUUAAGGUGAAACCGCGAAAGGCUCAUUAANNNNUAAUAUGGUUCCUUAGAUCGUACCCACAUUUACUUGGAUAACUGUGGUAAUUCUAGAGCUAAUACAUGCAAACAGAGCUCCAACCGGAAACGGAAGGAGCGCUUUUAUUAGAUCAAAACCAAUCGGUGGCGGUUCUCCGUCAUCGUACAACUUGGUGACUCUGAAUAACUUUACGCUGAUCGCACGGUCUCGCACCGGCGACGCAUCUUUCAAAUGUCUGCCUUAUCAACUGUCGAUGGUAGGUUCUGCGCCUACCAUGGUUGUAACGGGUAACGGGGAAUCAGGGUUCGAUUCCGGAGAGGGAGCCUGAGAAACGGCUACCACAUCCAAGGAAGGCAGCAGGCGCGCAAAUUACCCACUCCCGGCACGGGGAGGUAGUGACGAAAAAUAACGAUACGGGACUCAUCCGAGGCCCCGUAAUCGGAAUGAGUACACUCUAAACCCUUUAACGAGGAUCAAUUGGAGGGCAAGUCUGGUGCCAGCAGCCGCGGUAAUUCCAGCUCCAAUAGCGUAUAUUAAAGUUGUUGCGGUUAAAAAGCUCGUAGUCGAAUCUGUGUCCCGCGCCGCCGGUUCAUCGUUCGCGGUGUUAACUGGCGUGCCGCGGGACGUCCUGCCGGUGGGCUUAGCUCGAGAGGGCGGCCCAACUCAAUCCCGCCGCGGUGCUCUUCAUUGAGUGUCGAGGUGGGCCGGCACGUUUACUUUGAACAAAUUAGAGUGCUUAAAGCAGGCUAAAACUUCGCCUGAAUACUGUGUGCAUGGAAUAAUGGAAUAGGACCUCGGUUCUAUUUUGUUGGUUUUCGGAACCCCGAGGUAAUGAUUAAUAGGAACGGAUGGGGGCAUUCGUAUUGCGACGU